AUCAGUUUGCCCCGAGGAAUUUGGACAGAGGGUGGAGGUGACAGAGCAGCACCGUAUGGAAGAGCCUCACCUCUACUGGACCUCUCUUUUUUGCCCAGCUGCUUCUCACAGGCUCACAGCUAUCUGGUGAACAGGAGUGACAGUAGAGGUGAGACUCUGGGAAGGCAGCUUGAUAGAAUCUGGGUCCAGCUCAACUCUCACGGCCAAAGAAAAGCAGCUGGAGGUCAUUGCUAAGGAGAGGCUUAAGAGAAAGAAGCAGUGUGGACCAGUCAUGAAAAAAAUGCCCAAGACCUGAAUUCAAAGGACAAGUCCAGUUGCUGAUAUGUGUUCCCUGUUUCAGUGGAUGGAGGCCUUUUUCUUCUGCAGAUUAGUACUUUGCAAGACCAUCCUUUCACCUAAGCUCUGUGAAGCCUUUCAGAGUUAAAAAGAAAUCGUACAUGUACAAGUAUUGCUGUAAUACUUAAGUACUAUCAGCUUGACUUUUUCUCUCGAGAAUUUACCUAUCAUCAAGCACCUGGGAAUUACAGUUGGCAAUGGAAACGGUACUCAGGGCUAAUUUGCUGGUUAAUGUUACUGUGAGUUAUAUGCUGAGCAAGACAUGCUUGCAGGAGGCUGUGUGAAUCGUUUGGGUUUACACUCAAAGCCAUCUUGAAAAACAGAGAGAGUUACUGACAUUUGUGUCUGGCUAAUCUUUACUCAUAUUGAACCUUGAAAGUCAAAUAUAGGGAAGGAAGAAGCAG
This is a long non-coding RNA of Mus musculus (house mouse), 740 nucleotides long. RefSeq annotates it as predicted gene, 54214. The record is from RefSeq and is a predicted model, not a curated record. NCBI's taxonomy places the organism in Eukaryota, Metazoa, Chordata, Mammalia, Rodentia, Muridae. The transcript is spliced from 3 exons.